Molecule: ribosomal RNA, 2923 nt
Filed under: Klebsiella pneumoniae
Lineage: Bacteria; Pseudomonadati; Pseudomonadota; Gammaproteobacteria; Enterobacterales; Enterobacteriaceae
Description: bacterial LSU rRNA
Rfam family: Bacterial large subunit ribosomal RNA
Source: RNAcentral
GGGUUGUGAGGUUAAGCGACUAAGCGUACACGGUGGAUGCCCUGGCAGUCAGAGGCGAUGAAGGACGUGCUAAUCUGCGAAAAGCGUCGGUAAGGUGAUAUGAACCGUUAUAACCGGCGAUGUCCGAAUGGGGAAACCCAGUGCAAUUCGUUGCACUAUCGUUAACUGAAUACAUAGGUUAACGAGGCGAACCGGGGGAACUGAAACAUCUAAGUACCCCGAGGAAAAGAAAUCAACCGAGAUUCCCCCAGUAGCGGCGAGCGAACGGGGAGCAGCCCAGAGUCUGAAUCAGCUUGUGUGUUAGUGGAACGGUCUGGAAAGUCCGACGGUACAGGGUGAUAGUCCCGUACACCAAAAUGCACAGGCUGUGAACUCGAAGAGUAGGGCGGGACACGUGGUAUCCUGUCUGAAUAUGGGGGGACCAUCCUCCAAGGCUAAAUACUCCUGACUGACCGAUAGUGAACCAGUACCGUGAGGGAAAGGCGAAAAGAACCCCGGCGAGGGGAGUGAAAAAGAACCUGAAACCGUGUACGUACAAGCAGUGGGAGCACCUUCGGGUGUGACUGCGUACCUUUUGUAUAAUGGGUCAGCGACUUAUAUUCUGUAGCAAGGUUAACCGUAUAGGGGAGCCGCAGGGAAACCGAGUCUUAACUGGGCGUUAAGUUGCAGGGUAUAGACCCGAAACCCGGUGAUCUAGCCAUGGGCAGGUUGAAGGUUGGGUAACACUAACUGGAGGACCGAACCGACUAAUGUUGAAAAAUUAGCGGAUGACUUGUGGCUGGGGGUGAAAGGCCAAUCAAACCGGGAGAUAGCUGGUUCUCCCCGAAAGCUAUUUAGGUAGCGCCUCGUGAACUCAUCUUCGGGGGUAGAGCACUGUUUCGGCUAGGGGGUCAUCCCGACUUACCAACCCGAUGCAAACUACGAAUACCGAAGAAUGUUAUCACGGGAGACACACGGCGGGUGCUAACGUCCGUCGUGAAGAGGGAAACAACCCAGACCGCCAGCUAAGGUCCCAAAGUCAUGGUUAAGUGGGAAACGAUGUGGGAAGGCACAGACAGCCAGGAUGUUGGCUUAGAAGCAGCCAUCAUUUAAAGAAAGCGUAAUAGCUCACUGGUCGAGUCGGCCUGCGCGGAAGAUGUAACGGGGCUAAACCAUGCACCGAAGCUGCGGCAGCGACACUAUGUGUUGUUGGGUAGGGGAGCGUUCUGUAAGCCUGCGAAGGUGACCUGUGAGGGUUGCUGGAGGUAUCAGAAGUGCGAAUGCUGACAUAAGUAACGAUAAAGCGGGUGAAAAGCCCGCUCGCCGGAAGACCAAGGGUUCCUGUCCAACGUUAAUCGGGGCAGGGUGAGUCGACCCCUAAGGCGAGGCCGAAAGGCGUAGUCGAUGGGAAACAGGUUAAUAUUCCUGUACUUGGUGUUACUGCGAAGGGGGGACGGAGAAGGCUAUGUUAGCCGGGCGACGGUUGUCCCGGUUUAAGCAUGUAGGCUGGUUAUCCAGGCAAAUCCGGAUAAUCAAGGCUGAGGUGUGAUGACGAGGCACUACGGUGCUGAAGUAACAAAUGCCCUGCUUCCAGGAAAAGCCUCUAAGCAUCAGGUAACAUCAAAUCGUACCCCAAACCGACACAGGUGGUCAGGUAGAGAAUACCAAGGCGCUUGAGAGAACUCGGGUGAAGGAACUAGGCAAAAUGGUGCCGUAACUUCGGGAGAAGGCACGCUGGUGUGUAGGUGAAGCCCCUGCGGGUGGAGCUGAGACCAGUCGAAGAUACCAGCUGGCUGCAACUGUUUAUUAAAAACACAGCACUGUGCAAACACGAAAGUGGACGUAUACGGUGUGACGCCUGCCCGGUGCCGGAAGGUUAAUUGAUGGGGUUAUCCGUAAGGAGAAGCUCUUGAUCGAAGCCCCGGUAAACGGCGGCCGUAACUAUAACGGUCCUAAGGUAGCGAAAUUCCUUGUCGGGUAAGUUCCGACCUGCACGAAUGGCGUAAUGAUGGCCAGGCUGUCUCCACCCGAGACUCAGUGAAAUUGAACUCGCUGUGAAGAUGCAGUGUACCCGCGGCAAGACGGAAAGACCCCGUGAACCUUUACUAUAGCUUGACACUGAACAUUGAGCCUUGAUGUGUAGGAUAGGUGGGAGGCUUUGAAGCGUGGACGCCAGUCUGCGUGGAGCCAACCUUGAAAUACCACCCUUUAAUGUUUGAUGUUCUAACGUUGGCCCCUUACCGGGGUUGCGGACAGUGUCUGGUGGGUAGUUUGACUGGGGCGGUCUCCUCCCAAAGCGUAACGGAGGAGCACGAAGGUUAGCUAAUCCUGGUCGGACAUCAGGAGGUUAGUGCAAUGGCAUAAGCUAGCUUGACUGCGAGCGUGACGGCGCGAGCAGGUGCGAAAGCAGGUCAUAGUGAUCCGGUGGUUCUGAAUGGAAGGGCCAUCGCUCAACGGAUAAAAGGUACUCCGGGGAUAACAGGCUGAUACCGCCCAAGAGUUCAUAUCGACGGCGGUGUUUGGCACCUCGAUGUCGGCUCAUCACAUCCUGGGGCUGAAGUAGGUCCCAAGGGUAUGGCUGUUCGCCAUUUAAAGUGGUACGCGAGCUGGGUUUAGAACGUCGUGAGACAGUUCGGUCCCUAUCUGCCGUGGGCGCUGGAGAAUUGAGGGGGGCUGCUCCUAGUACGAGAGGACCGGAGUGGACGCAUCACUGGUGUUCGGGUUGUCAUGCCAAUGGCACUGCCCGGUAGCUAAAUGCGGAAGAGAUAAGUGCUGAAAGCAUCUAAGCACGAAACUUGCCCCGAGAUGAGUUCUCCCUGAGACUUUAAGUCUCCUGAAGGAACGUUAAAGACGAUGACGUUGAUAGGCCGGGUGUGUAAGCGCAGCGAUGCGUUGAGCUAACCGGUACUAAUGAACCGUGAGGCUUAACCUUACAACGCCGAAG